AUUACAGACGAACAUCCAACAUUUAGCACCCUUAACUAACACCCUUGUUAGUAAAGUUUGUACAUAAAGUCUGAGAUCAUUCCCGUGUCAUAAACUAUUUGCCUGAAUUGAGAAUACUAUAAAUUGAAAUUGGAUCUGUAACUUUAGCUGCUGCACAUAAAGAUGACCUAUCUAACAAAAUUACUUUGAACUUACCCAGGAAAAAAAGUGAAACGUUUCUUCUGGAAGGACCUCCGAGUUUUGCAAAGAAAUCACUGCAUAUAAAUAUCUGAGUGUCAAUGCUGUGUUCUUCUCACUGGGGUACUGACCAGUUUAGUCUUUUUGGGAUAGGUAGAGUCACCUUCAGAAUUGGACCUUAUUUUGCUUCCAUUUCAAGUCAGACUCACAUUUUCCAUAGACUUUUACUUUUUUUCUGCUGAAAGCUGUUUUAAUCCACCUACCCAUCUUCAUGCACUGAGAUCAAAGUUGCUUCUGUUCAGUACAUGACAUUUCACAAAUGAGAACUUGCAUCUAAAUGCUUUAAUUUGUAAAGAAAACAGCCAUUUAACUAUGGCAUGUAAUUGAAGCGUGCAGUUAUGUUUACAGCAAAUAGUAGAUUGAUGCUCUGUUGUAUAACACAAGACACUUAGUUAAGCUGUAUAAUUCAACAUAAACGAAGCUAAAAAUUAAAGUUGGUAUAACAGUUCUCCAAGUAUCCUAAAUGGGCGAUAAUGUUGUGUUGAUACAGUAGGAAGAAUUCGGAUAUUUGAUAUCUCUUGAUAUCGAGCCCAAAAAACACGCGAGAUCGCGUGACUUUUGAAUGGUAAAAUGUAAUUUAGUCCGCUUUGGCCAUGACGAUGUUUUCUCGCUGUAUAAGAACUUCUUGCUGCUUGGAAAGAGACAAUAAUAUAAAUAUACGCUUGAUAGUUCUUCCAAGCGGUGAGAUGAUCCCGUCGAAAUAAUAAUUAACUGAUUGUGAGCACAAGUGAUUGCUUUAAUUUCCAAAGGUAACCAUGCUGUAUCCUUGAACUAAUGUACCUCGCUAGAUAUGGUGAAGUUUGUUUCGUUUUUGUGCGGACAGGGAGUUAGACAAAGGUAAAGAAAGCAAGGAAAUCAUGUCUGAAUGCAGCAGUUACAGUGUAGAAAAACUGAGAGAAGAGGUUACAAAGAAGAGUUGAUGCAAAUCUCAGACAGUUUUGUGACUUGCAGAGUACAUUCCCGGAAGCCACCACUGCCACAGUCAAGUCUUUCAAACAAGACAAGAAUCAAGUAAAGAAAGUUCUGAAGAAAGGUGUUUUGAUGGACAGUGACUAGGACAUUUGUAUGUUCAGUUUCAGGUACAUGUACGUGAACUGACAUAUUUUUUUUUCACUUAAACCUGAACUGAAUUAUUUCACUUGAACACAUUUUUAUGCCAUUUGCCUUUAUAUCUGUCAUUAGUAUUAUCAACAGGGCUCUGGGUAUUUUUCUUGUCGGCAGUUCACCCCAUACCUGUCUUGGCCAAUUAAGUCAUAUUACUACAAAGCAGGGUGUUCCCGUUGCAUCAUAACAUUGUCAAAGUGGCUGUGGAACCACAAGCUGCAGGUGAGUGGUUCUGCAGUAAACUUUGACA
This is a long non-coding RNA of Orbicella faveolata, 1591 nucleotides long. The record is from RefSeq and is a predicted model, not a curated record. NCBI's taxonomy places the organism in Eukaryota, Metazoa, Cnidaria, Anthozoa, Scleractinia, Merulinidae.